GGUGCUUGCACCUGAUUGAUUUUGGUCGCCAACGAGUGGCGGACGGGUGAGUAACACGUAGGUAACCUGCCCAGAAGCGGGGGACAACAUUUGGAAACAGAUGCUAAUACCGCAUAACAACGUUGUUCGCAUGAACAACGCUUAAAAGAUGGCUUCUCGCUAUCACUUCUGGAUGGACCUGCGGUGCAUUAGCUUGUUGGUGGGGUAACGGCCUACCAAGGCGAUGAUGCAUAGCCGAGUUGAGAGACUGAUCGGCCACAAUGGGACUGAGACACGGCCCAUACUCCUACGGGAGGCAGCAGUAGGGAAUCUUCCACAAUGGGCGCAAGCCUGAUGGAGCAACACCGCGUGAGUGAAGAAGGGUUUCGGCUCGUAAAGCUCUGUUGUUAAAGAAGAACACGUAUGAGAGUAACUGUUCAUACGUUGACGGUAUUUAACCAGAAAGUCACGGCUAACUACGUGCCAGCAGCCGCGGUAAUACGUAGGUGGCAAGCGUUAUCCGGAUUUAUUGGGCGUAAAGAGAGUGCAGGCGGUUUUCUAAGUCUGAUGUGAAAGCCUUCGGCUUAACCGGAGAAGUGCAUCGGAAACUGGAUAACUUGAGUGCAGAAGAGGGUAGUGGAACUCCAUGUGUAGCGGUGGAAUGCGUAGAUAUAUGGAAGAACACCAGUGGCGAAGGCGGCUACCUGGUCUGCAACUGACGCUGAGACUCGAAAGCAUGGGUAGCGAACAGGAUUAGAUACCCUGGUAGUCCAUGCCGUAAACGAUGAGUGCUAGG
This 775-nucleotide ribosomal RNA is filed under the name Limosilactobacillus fermentum. RNAcentral describes it as "bacterial SSU rRNA". It matches the Rfam family "Bacterial small subunit ribosomal RNA", at positions 66 to 820 of the family's 1533-position model. Lineage: Bacteria; Bacillati; Bacillota; Bacilli; Lactobacillales; Lactobacillaceae. The record is from RNAcentral.